UACGUAGGGUGCAAGCGUUAUCCGGAAUUAUUGGGCGUAAAGAGCUCGUAGGCGGUCUGUCGCGUCUGCUGUGAAAAACUGGGGGGCUCAACCCCCCAGCCUGCAGUGGGUACGGGCAGACUAGAGUGCGGGUAGGGGAGAUUGGAACUCCGUGGUGUAGCGGUGGAAUGCGCAAGAUAUCAGGAAGAACGACCGAUGGCGGAAGGCCAGA
Molecule: ribosomal RNA, 211 nt
Filed under: uncultured bacterium
Lineage: Bacteria
Description: partial 16S ribosomal RNA
Rfam family: Bacterial small subunit ribosomal RNA
Source: RNAcentral